CUCUGCUGACCAUGGCUGGUGGUUCAUGAUCCUCUGUGCUUCAGCCUCCAGCACACAGAGCAGCAUCUGCUGGGUGUGCCAGGAUGCAGCACGGCUAAAGGGAGGGCAGCUGCUCUGCCUCACACACAGCUCGUUUGUGCACCUUGGUUGAGUGCAAGUCCAGACCUGCCCUGACGUUCAUCCACCGGGCUGCCUCACAAGGCCACCGACUAUGAGACAGAGCCCUGAAGACAGAGCUGUGAUCAAACAGGAGGAACUGCAGAGUCAGGAGGAGGUGGACAGGAAGGCUGCAGUUUCCUGGCUUAGCAACAACUUCUCCAAGGGAUGUUGUCCGAGGCCAUGUGGUGCUGGGACCAGCCCCGGGUGCUGUGGAGGAGACCGGAGCUCCUGUGGCCACCGCAUGGCCUGGGUACACGGUGCUGAGCAAGUCCCACAGGGCUGCCUUAACUACAGCUCUGCACCACCGGUGGUGUGGGAAUCACCAUGAAGACAAAGCUGGGACUGAGCAUAAGGCUCAUGCCUUUUAUACAGCUCUGAUGGUGGAAAAAAAUCUGGUGGUUUCAGUUGCACGUCCCACUCCUGAGCAGGACUUGUGUGUUCUUGGUGACCAUUGCUGUGGUCAACAACCAAGUCUGUGUACUGAGAGCUGGUCACUUAAACAAGCUUCACCAGGACUUUGGGGACCAUCGAAAAUGUGGGCUGGCUGAUUCCUGGACAUCCCAGAGAAGCUGAGGAUGGGGACAUGCACUGAGACGCUGGAUGGGUAAGAUAUGGUGGUCUGAGAUUGUGUUAGGGCUUUAAAAUGUUGGGGUGUGUGGGGGGUUCCUUCUUACUGGUGGAGAGUAUCCUUUGGUGUGGGAGCAUUCAAAUGGUGGAUCACCAUGCUAAACCUGAAUCACGGCUCAGUUGUUCUUGCCCUCUUGUUGGAAGGAAAAGACAUUUUCCUGAUGGCAGCUAUUUCUUUUACUGCAUGCUACACCCAUUAGCUGCUAGACUGCCAGCACUGAUCUGAAACUGUUGCAGCCCUAACUGGGUUCUGGAACCACACCAUGCCUAGACAAUGUAUUCACCCCACCCCCUAAAUGAGGCGGUGUGGGUGAAAUUAAUUUCCCAUGCAUUUGGUGAAGUUGCAUUUGAUAUAUCUAGCCCAAGAAACAGAAGUAAUGUACUUAGAUUGCAAAAGGCAUCUCCUGCAUUUUUUUGCAAACAUACUCUCUGUAGUCUUAGUUUAGUAUUUUCCCUUUGCCUAGCUGAAGCUCAGUCUGCACCUUGAAUAAUACAUGUAAGUUUUUGAUUGACAUUCAGUCCUAAGCAUUUAGCUAUCUUGAUGUCUUGUCAAGUCAUCCUUUGAUAAAAGCAUUUCAGGUGCUGCAAAAUGUAAUCACUUCACUGCAGCAUUCUACUUUGCAGAUUCGAGAUUCUCUACAUAUAUUUCAGCUGAGGAUCUUGGCACUGUCAACAGAUCUGUUCCAUGGAUGAUUUUGGAUGGAUCUAUUAAUAUUGCCUCUAAGAGUAGUAAGUCCUGCUCCUUUACAAAGUGAAUCAUCUGUCUCUCCUGUGGACAAGUUAAGUUCUCCCUCACUGGACUUGUAGUCCACAAGUUGGCAGGGUUUCCUGUUUUGUUAAUAGUCUUCAAACAGCAGUAGAGUCAUUUCAAAAAAUGUUCAGCCCAGUUUUGGGGCCAAGUAUUAUGUCUUUCAGUUAUUUGUUCUUCUAGACAGGCCAUGUCACCAUUAGUCAUACUUCAGAAUGAUGGUUUGCUUUCAUUAUUCACUGACUGCACUGCUUCUGAUUCAGUGCUUUCCAAGUCAGCAAGAUUUUCCUGUGCUAAUUCAUCUGAAUCAUUUCUAGAAGAGUUUAUAUCAAAGGAUGCAUUCUCAAUGUUAAUAAAGUGCAGGGUUUUGAAACAGCUUGUAAUUCUGGUUCUUUAAAAAAUAAGCUUUUUAGAUGUGUUUCUGCUAUGUGUGUGAGCACAGUGUGUGUCAGUAAGGGGGGCUUAACAUGAUUGAUAGCCCUUUCCCUUUUUAUUUAUGUUCUGUUUGGGACAUCUAGCACACACAGCCAGGCUAAUGUGGGUCCAGAAUGAACACUGGCUCUACUGCAGCAAAACCAGCAGCCCCAGCAUGGUUUAGGAUGUGGCUCUCAGACACCACGACUCACAAGGCCCUUUAAACCUGGCCACCUUUCUUACCUUCACCGUUUUCUUGCCUGACCACUUCUUAUGUCAAACGAGGAUGACUGAGAUCUCCUGGAAGGUCUCAGUACUGUGGAUUAUUGGUAGGGCUCAAGUGAUUUGUGUGGUCUGAUGUGGGCCCAUCUACUCCUGUGUUUGUUUAAUGCGAACAUACAGUGAACCCACACAUUUAUAUGGUACACAUCUGGCUCUACACACCUGUGUCAUUGGUUGCAUUUCUGAAUGGGUGUUUGUUCACUCGAGGAUUCCUUGGUUUGAUUGCUGUUCCUGACCUCCUCCCACAAACACGAGUCUAUCGUCUUUCAUGUACUCUUACAUUCCUGGUUGUCAGUCUGCCCAUAGCAGCAAUGCAUUGCGAAAGAACAAAAGAGCAGAAAGAGAUAGUUAGGCAGAAACGUAGCUAUCCAGACCAUCUGCUGUGCCCCACUUCACUGAAGCCAUCUCAGAACCUAAGGAAACAAAACCAAAACAAUGGACCCUUUGUAACUC
Long non-coding RNA from Columba livia (rock pigeon), 2683 nucleotides. RefSeq lists it as uncharacterized. The transcript is spliced from 3 exons. The record is from RefSeq and is a predicted model, not a curated record. Lineage: Eukaryota; Metazoa; Chordata; Aves; Columbiformes; Columbidae.